ACUCAAAUGAAUUGACGGGGGCCCGCACAAGCGGUGGAGCAUGUUGUUUAAUACGUCACUAACCGUAGAACCUUACCAGGGCUUGACAUCCGCUGCCCGCCGGUGAAAGCCGGUUUUCGUAGCAAUACGACAGCGAGACAGGUGUUGCAUGGCUGUCGUCAGCUCGUGUCGUGAGAUGUUGGGUUAAGUCCCGCAACGAGCGCAACCCUCACCCCAUGUUGCCAGCGAGUCAGGUCGGGCACUCUUGGGGAACUGCCUGUGCAAGCAGGAGGAAGGUGAGGAUGACGUCAAGUCAGCAUGGCCCUUACGCCCUGGGCUACAAACAUGCUACAAUGGACGGCAGACAAAGGGAACCGAGGCCGUGAGGCGGAGGCAAUCUCAGAAAUCCGUCCCCAGUUCAGAUCGCAGGCUGCAACUCGCCUGCGUGAAGUCGGAAUCGCUAGUAACCGCCGAUCAGCGAAGCGGCGGUGAAUACGUUCCCGGGCCUUGUACACACCGCCCGU
This 503-nucleotide ribosomal RNA is filed under the name uncultured bacterium. Its description in RNAcentral is "partial 16S ribosomal RNA". It matches the Rfam family "Bacterial small subunit ribosomal RNA", at positions 899 to 1397 of the family's 1533-position model. The record is from RNAcentral.